Non-coding RNA from Triticum aestivum (bread wheat), 134 nucleotides. The record is from Rfam. Lineage: Eukaryota; Viridiplantae; Streptophyta; Magnoliopsida; Poales; Poaceae.
AUUGUACUCCCUCCAUCCGGAAAUACUUGUCAUCAAAAUGGAUAAAAGGGGCGUAUCUAGACGUAUUUUAGUUCUAGAUAUAUCUCUUUUUAUCCAUUUUGAUGACAACUAUUUUCGGACUGAGGGAGUACGAG